CCGAGUUAGCCAAACUCCCAACCCCUUGUGAAGUAUACCUUAAAUUGUUGCUUCGGCGGGACUUCGCUCCCUCCGGGAGGGACGCCGGAGAACCUUCCUGAAAUCUUGUUUUAUAGUAUCUUCUGAGUAGCUUAUAAAUAAGUAAUCA
RNAcentral lists this unclassified non-coding RNA (148 nucleotides) under soil metagenome. Its description in RNAcentral is "partial internal transcribed spacer 1". The record is from RNAcentral.